AGAGUUUGAUCAUGGCUCAGAGUGAACGCUGGCGGCGUGGAUUAGGCAUGCAAGUCGAGCGAUCUCGCAAGGGAUAGCGGCAAACGGGUGAGGAAUACAUAGGUAAUCUUCCUUUAAAUCAGGAAUAGCCCUGCGAAAGUAGGGGUAAUGCUUGAUAGCAUCAUGAAAACGCAUGUUUUUAUGAUUAAAGAUGGGGACCGCAAGGCCUGUCGUUUAAAGAUGAGCCUAUGUUUUAUCAGCUAGUUGGUAGGGUAAUGGCCUACCAAGGCUAAGACAAGUAGCUGGUCUGAGAGGAUGGUCAGCCACACUGGGACUGAGACACUGCCCAGACUCCUACGGGAGGCUGCAGUCGAGAAUACUUAGCAAUGGACGAAAGUCUGACUACGCGACGCCGCGUGAGGGAUGAAGGUUUUCGGAUCGUAAACCUCUUUUAGCAGGAAAGAAAAUUUCGACAUUAAUACUGUCGAAACUGACGGUACCUGCAGAAUA
This 489-nucleotide ribosomal RNA is filed under the name uncultured Pirellula sp. Its description in RNAcentral is "bacterial SSU rRNA". It matches the Rfam family "Bacterial small subunit ribosomal RNA", at positions 8 to 488 of the family's 1533-position model. The record is from RNAcentral. Lineage: Bacteria; Pseudomonadati; Planctomycetota; Planctomycetia; Pirellulales; Pirellulaceae.